RNAcentral lists this ribosomal RNA (497 nucleotides) under uncultured bacterium. Its description in RNAcentral is "partial 16S ribosomal RNA". It matches the Rfam family "Bacterial small subunit ribosomal RNA", at positions 28 to 507 of the family's 1533-position model. The record is from RNAcentral.
GACGAACGCUGGCGGCGUGCCUAAUACAUGCAAGUAGAACGCUGAAGAGAGGAGCUUGCUCUUCUUGGAUGAGUUGCGAACGGGUGAGUAACGCGUAGGUAACCUGCCUGUUAGCGGGGGAUAACUAUUGGAAACGAUAGCUAAUACCGCAUAAAAUGGACUAUCGCAUGAUAAUCCAUUUAAAGGUGCAAAUGCAUCACUACCAGAUGGACCUGCGUUGUAUUAGCUAGUUGGUGGGGCAACGGCUCACCAAGGCGGCGAUACAUAGCCGACCUGGAAGGGUGAACGGCCACACUGGGAAUGGGACAAGGCCCAAACUCCUACGGGGAGCAGCAGUAGGGAAUCUUCGGCCAUGGACGGAAGUCUGACCGAGCAAAGCCGGGUGAGUGAAGGAGGUUUUCGGGUCGUAAAGCUCUGUUGUAAGAGAAGAACGAGUGUGAGAGUGGAAAGUUCACACUGUGACGGUAUCUUACCAGAAAGGGACGGCUAACUACGUG